RNAcentral lists this ribosomal RNA (671 nucleotides) under uncultured bacterium. RNAcentral's name for it is "bacterial SSU rRNA". It matches the Rfam family "Bacterial small subunit ribosomal RNA", at positions 94 to 802 of the family's 1533-position model. The record is from RNAcentral.
GCUGGCAAACGGGUGAGUGUAAUGUGGGUGUCUGCCUUUUGGUCGGGAUUAACACUAGGAAAGUUGUGCCAUUACCGGAUAAGCCUUCAGUUGGAAAGUUUUAAUGCCGAAAGAUGAGCCCGCACUUGAUUAGCUAGUUGGUGUGGUAAUAGCUUACCAAGGCAACGAUCAAUAGCUGUUCUUAGAGGAAUACCACCCACAUUGGGACUGAGACACGGCCCAAACUCCUACGGGAGGCAGCAGUGGGGAAUCUUGCACAAUGGGGGAAACCCUGAUGCAGCGAUGCCGCGUGAGUGAAGAAGGCCUUUGGGUUGUAAAACUCUUUCGUCGGGGAAGAAAAUGACUGUACCCGAAUAAGAAGGUCCGGCUAACUUCGUGCCAGCAGCCGCGGUAAUACGAAGGGACCUAGCGUAGUUCGGAAUUACUGGGCUUAAAGAGUUCGUAGGUGGUUAAAAAAGUUGAUGGUGAAAUCCCAAGGCUCAACCUUGGAACUGCCAUCAAAACUUUUUAGCUAGAGUAUGAUAGAGGAAAGUGGAAUUUCUAGUGUAGAGGUGAAAUUCGUAGAUAUUAGAAAGAACAUCAAAAGCGAAAGCAACUUUCUGGAUCAUUACUGACACUGAGGAACGAAAGCAUGGGUAGCGAGAGGAUUAGAUACCCUCGUAGUCAUGCGA